AGAGUUUGAUCCUGGCUCAGGAUGAACGCUAGCGGCAGGCCUAAUACAUGCAAGUCGAACGGGGCAGCAAUGCCUAGUGGCGCACGGGUGCGUAACGCGUAUGCAACCUACCCAUCAAUGGGGGAUAGCCCGGGGAAACCCGGAUUAAUACCGCAUACUAUAAUCAGAUGGCAUCAUGUGAUUAUGAAACAUUUAUGGUUGAUGGAUGGGCAUGCGUUAGAUUAGCUAGUUGGUGUAGUAAUGGUGCACCAAGGCAAUGAUCUAUAGGGGUUCUGAGAGGAAGAUCCCCCACACUGGUACUGAGAUACGGACCAGACUCCUACGGGAGGCAGCAGUAGGGAAUAUUGGGCAAUGGAGGCAACUCUGACCCAGCCAUGCCGCGUGCAGGAAGAAGGCCUUCUGGGUUGUAAACUGCUUUUGGAAGGGAACAAAACGGUCUUGCGAGACAAUUUGAGUGUACCUUCAGAAUAAGCACCGGCUAACUCCGUGCCAGCAGCCGCGGUAAUACGGAGGGUGCAAGCGUUGUCCGGAUUUAUUGGGUUUAAAGGGUGCGUAGGCGGCUACUUAAGUCAGGGGUGAAAGACUAUUGCUUAACAAUGGCAGUGCCUUUGAUACUGAGUAGCUUGAGUGUAGCUGAGGCAGAUGGAAUGGGGGGUGUAGCGGUGAAAUGCAUAGAUACCCUCCAGAACACCGAUUGCGAAGGCAGUCUGCUAAACUACAACUGACGCUGAGGCACGAAAGCGUGGGGAUCGAACAGGAUUAGAUACCCUAGUAGUCC
This 778-nucleotide ribosomal RNA is filed under the name uncultured bacterium. RNAcentral's name for it is "bacterial SSU rRNA". It matches the Rfam family "Bacterial small subunit ribosomal RNA", at positions 8 to 796 of the family's 1533-position model. The record is from RNAcentral.